GCCCCGGCCAGCGCCGCCUGGAGGAGCGUCCUCAGGGUCUCCCCGCGCCCAGGGGUGGCCUGGAGGCCAAGCAGAUGUGGCAGUUCUGCAGCAGAAGCAUCUGCCACAAAAGCGGAAGAUGACUCCUUUCUUCAGUGGGUCCUGCUCCUCAUCCCUGUGACUGCCUUUGGCUUGGGGACAUGGCAGGUCCAGCGUCGGAAGUGGAAGCUGAACCUGAUUGCAGAGUUGGAGUCCAGAGUUCUGGCUGAGCCUGUCCCUCUGCCAGCGGACCCAAUGGAACUGAAAAAUCUGGAGUAUAGGCCAGUGAAGGUCAGGGGGUGCUUUGACCACUCCAAGGAGCUGUAUAUGAUGCCCCGGACCAUGGUGGACCCUGUCCGGGAGGCCCGGGAGGGCGGCCUCAUCUCCUCCUCAACUCAGAGUGGGGCCUAUGUGGUCACUCCCUUCCACUGCACCGACCUGGGGAAGAAAGUGAAUCCUGAAACCCGGCAGAAAGGCCAGAUUGAGGGAGAAGUGGACCUCAUUGGGAUGGUGAGGCUGACAGAAACCAGGCAGCCUUUUGUCCCUGAGAACAAUCCAGAAAGGAACCACUGGCAUUAUCGAGACCUGGAAGCUAUGGCCAGAAUCACAGGCGCAGAGCCCAUCUUCAUUGAUGCCAACUUCCAGAGCACAGUCCCUGGAGGACCCAUUGGAGGGCAAACCAGAGUUACUCUGAGGAACGAGCAUCUGCAGUACAUCGUGACCUGGUGAGUCCCCAGCGGCCCUCUGGCUUCCUCCCCUUCAGCCUAGCAGCCUGCUAAUGCUGGCUUGCUUUCAACCCCUAGGUAUGGACUCUCUGCAGCUACAUCCUACCUGUGGUUUAAGAAAUUCCUACGUGGGACACCUGGUGUGUGA
Molecule: small RNA, 891 nt
Filed under: Pan troglodytes (chimpanzee)
Lineage: Eukaryota; Metazoa; Chordata; Mammalia; Primates; Hominidae
Description: retained intron
Source: RNAcentral